CCUACGGGUGGCUGCAGUGGGGAAUAUUGGGCAAUGGGCGCAAGCCUGACCCAGCAACGCCGCGUGAAGGAAGACGGCUCUCUGGUUGUUAACUUCUUUUUAGAGGGAAGAGCAGAAGACGGUACCUCUUGAAUAAGCCACGACUAACUACGUACCAGCAGCCGCGGUAAUACCUAGGUGGCAAGCGUUGUCCGGAUUUACUGGGUGUAACGGGCGUGUAGCCGGGCUGACAAGUCAGAUGUGAAAUCCCGUGGCCCAACCACGGAACUGCAUUUGAAACUGUCGGUCUUGAGUAUCGGAGAGGCAGGCGGAAUUCCUGGUGUAGCGGUGAAAUGCGUAGAUAUCAGGAGGAACACCAGUUGCGAAGGCGGCCUGCUGGACGCCAACUGACGGUGAGGCGCGAAAGCGUGGGUAGCAAACAGGAUUAGAUACCCCAGUAGUC
This 442-nucleotide ribosomal RNA is filed under the name uncultured bacterium. Its description in RNAcentral is "partial 16S ribosomal RNA". It matches the Rfam family "Bacterial small subunit ribosomal RNA", at positions 338 to 795 of the family's 1533-position model. The record is from RNAcentral.